RNAcentral lists this transfer RNA (77 nucleotides) under Actinomadura coerulea. RNAcentral describes it as "tRNA-Gly". Lineage: Bacteria; Bacillati; Actinomycetota; Actinomycetes; Streptosporangiales; Thermomonosporaceae. The record is from RNAcentral.
CGCCGAUGGUCGACGGCGGCUACGACGUCGCGGACUACCGCUCGGUGGAUCCGACGUUCGGCACGCUCGCCGACGCC